This 195-nucleotide unclassified non-coding RNA is filed under the name uncultured Russula. RNAcentral's name for it is "sequence contains ITS1". The record is from RNAcentral. Lineage: Eukaryota; Fungi; Basidiomycota; Agaricomycetes; Russulales; Russulaceae.
UCGUACCACGGAGGCGCUUGGGUUGUCGCUGACCUUUCCGAAGGCUCGUGCACGCUCGAGUGCUUUCAAUCCACUUCACCCCUUGUGCAUCACCGCGUGGGGUCUCUCUUUCGGGAGGCUCGCGUUUUUAAUACACACAUACACGUUUAUAGUCAGUUUAGAAUGUCACUCAUUUGCGAUCACACGCAAUCAAUA